RNAcentral lists this long non-coding RNA (448 nucleotides) under Helianthus annuus (common sunflower). The record is from RNAcentral. Lineage: Eukaryota; Viridiplantae; Streptophyta; Magnoliopsida; Asterales; Asteraceae.
AUGAACUUAUUCAUGAAGCUGGUAUAUGAAUAUCGCCUUUCUUGAAGCCUCAGCAUCCAAAAAGGUAUGAUUCCUUAGCAGGAUUUCGGGGUGUGUUGAACCAGCCUUGCCUUGGCAUUAUUCCUAUAAGAUAAGUGUUUCUUCACCUUUUGGGCUCAAAAUUCAUUCCAUUUGAUAUGCUUAACCUCAAAAGUCAAUCUACCUAUCACCAAUUUUCAACCAAUUUAUUGAGGAAUUUGACCAUCCAAUGUCCAUAUCUUGUGCUGCUGGAAACACUAGACUUUUUGUUAACAAGAAGUUAACCAAAAAAAGUUAACUUCUUGCUGGCAAAGGUCUACCUAUAACAAAAGAUAGAUCUUAUGUCACUGACAUUUCUUGGGAAGUUGUGGAUGAAGACACAUGAGAAGAGCUAGAUGAAGGCCUUGCCAGUAAAUUUCGCUAAAUAUUG